This 445-nucleotide ribosomal RNA is filed under the name uncultured bacterium. RNAcentral's name for it is "bacterial SSU rRNA". It matches the Rfam family "Bacterial small subunit ribosomal RNA", at positions 330 to 792 of the family's 1533-position model. The record is from RNAcentral.
GCCAGACUCCUACGGGAGGCAGCAGUGAGGGAUAUUGGUCAAUGGGGGAAACCCUGAACCAGCAACGCCGCGUGAGGGAAGACGGUUUUCGGAUUGUAAACCUCUGUCCUCUGUGAAGAUAAUGACGGUAGCAGAGGAGGAAGCUCCGGCUAACUACGUGCCAGCAGCCGCGGUAAUACGUAGGGGGCAAGCGUUAUCCGGAUUUACUGGGCGUAAAGGGAGCGUAGACGGUUAUGUAAGUCUGGAGUGAAAGCCCGGGGCCCAACCCCGGGACUGCUUUGGAAACUGUGUAACUGGAGUACAGGAGGGGCAGGCGGAAUUCCUGGUGUAGCGGUGAAAUGCGUAGAUAUCGGGAGGAACACCGGCGGCGAAGGCGGCCUGCUGGACUGAAACUGACGUUGAGGCUCGAAAGCGUGGGGAGCAAACAGGAUUAGAUACCCCAGUA